UGAGGAAUCUUGCGCAAUGGGCGAAAGCCUGACGCAGCCACGCCGCGUGCCGGAUGAAGGCCCUAUGGGUUGUAAACGGCUUUUACUAGGGAAGAACGAGGAGGUUUUGAUCUUCUGUGACGGUACCUAGUGAAUAAGCACCGGCUAACUCCGUGCCAGCAGCCGCGGUAAUACGGAGGGUGCAAGCGUUGUCCGGAAUCAUUGGGUGUAAAGGGUACGUAGGCGGGAGCCUAAGUCUGGGGUGAAAUCUUGCCGCUUAACGGUAAAAUGGCCUUGGAUACUGGGUUUCUUGAGUGCAGAAGAGGCAGGUGGAAUUCGUGGUGUAGCGGUGAAAUGCAUAGAUAUCACGAAGAACAUCAGUGGCGAAGGCGGCCUGCUGGUCUGCAACUGACGCUGAGGUACGAAAGCGUGGGGAGCGAACAGG
Molecule: ribosomal RNA, 424 nt
Filed under: uncultured bacterium
Lineage: Bacteria
Description: bacterial SSU rRNA
Rfam family: Bacterial small subunit ribosomal RNA
Source: RNAcentral